This 375-nucleotide ribosomal RNA is filed under the name uncultured bacterium. RNAcentral's name for it is "bacterial SSU rRNA". It matches the Rfam family "Bacterial small subunit ribosomal RNA", at positions 524 to 898 of the family's 1533-position model. The record is from RNAcentral.
UACAGAGGGUGCAAGCGUUAAUCGGAAUUACUGGGCGUAAAGCGAACGUAGGCGGUUACCUAAGUCGGAUGUGAAAUCCCCGGGCUCAACCUGGGAAUUGCAUUCGAGACUGGAUAGCUAGAAUGCGGAAGAGGGAAGCGGAAUUUCCGGUGUAGCGGUGAAAUGCGUAGAUAUCGGAAGGAACAUCAGUGGCGAAAGCGGCUUCCUGGUCCAGCAUUGACGCUCAGGUUCGAAAGCGUGGGGAGCAAACAGGAUUAGAUACCCUGGUAGUCCACGCCAUAAACGAUGAGGACUAGACGUUGAGAGGGUUAGCCUCCCAGUGUCGCAGCUAACGCGCUAAGUCCUCCGCCUGGGGAGUACGGCCGCAAGGUUGAA